This 158-nucleotide ribosomal RNA is filed under the name uncultured cf. Cortinarius sp. Its description in RNAcentral is "5.8S ribosomal RNA". It matches the Rfam family "5.8S ribosomal RNA". From Rfam's summary of the family: 5.8S ribosomal RNA (5.8S rRNA) is a component of the large subunit of the eukaryotic ribosome. It is transcribed by RNA polymerase I as part of the 45S precursor that also contains 18S and 28S rRNA. Lineage: Eukaryota; Fungi; Basidiomycota; Agaricomycetes; Agaricales; Cortinariaceae. The record is from RNAcentral.
CAACUUUCAGCAACGGAUCUCUUGGCUCUCGCAUCGAUGAAGAACGCAGCGAAAUGCGAUAAGUAAUGUGAAUUGCAGAAUUCAGUGAAUCAUCAAAUCUUUGAACGCACCUUGCGCUCCUUGGUAUUCCGAGGAGCAUGCCUGUUUGAGUGUCAUUA